UUACACAAUAUGAAGGCGGGCUGGAACCUCUCGGGGUUACAGCCUUGCUGAAUUAUUCACCCUUGUCUUUUGCGUACUUCUUGUUUCCUUGGUGGGUUCGCCCACCACUAGGACAAACAUAAACCUUUUGUAAUUGCAAUCAGCGUCAGUAACAAAUUAAUAACUACAACUUUCAACAACGGAUCUCUUGGUUCUGGCAUCGAUGAAGAACGCAGCGAAAUGCGAUAAGUAGUGUGAAUUGCAGAAUUCAGUGAAUCAUCGAAUCUUUGAACGCACAUUGCGCCCUUUGGUAUUCCAAAGGGCAAGCCUGUUCGAGCGUCAUUUGUACCCUCAAGCUUUGCUUGGUGUUGGGCGUCUUGUCUCUAGCUUUGCUGGAGACUCGCCUUAAAGUAAUUGGCAGCCGGCCUACUGGUUUCGGAGCGCAGCACAAGUCGCACUCUCUAUCAGCAAAGGUCUAGCAUCCAUUAAGCCUUUUUUCAACUUUUGACCUCGGAUCAGGUAGGGAUACCCGCUGAACUUAAGCAUAUCAAUAAACGAGGGAAAAUNACAAAAUUAUGAAGGCGGGCGGNAACCCUCGGGNUAAGCCUGCNGAAUAUUACCUGUUUUUGCUCUCUGUUUCUUGUGGGUGCCAUAGACAAAUACUUUGUAUGAUACUGUACAAUAUCUACUUAACGAUCUGGUGGCUAUAAAAACAAAUCAUAAUUUGUUUAAUCAAAUUUA
This 720-nucleotide ribosomal RNA is filed under the name uncultured fungus. RNAcentral's name for it is "eukaryotic LSU rRNA". The stretch from base 168 to 321 matches the Rfam family "5.8S ribosomal RNA". The record is from RNAcentral. Lineage: Eukaryota; Fungi.